RNAcentral lists this ribosomal RNA (1437 nucleotides) under Staphylococcus aureus. Its description in RNAcentral is "partial 16S ribosomal RNA". It matches the Rfam family "Bacterial small subunit ribosomal RNA". The record is from RNAcentral. Lineage: Bacteria; Bacillati; Bacillota; Bacilli; Caryophanales; Staphylococcaceae.
UGAACGCUGGCGGCGUGCCUAAUACAUGCAAGUCGAGCGAACGGACGAGAAGCUUGCUUCUCUGAUGUUAGCGGCGGACGGGUGAGUAACACGUGGAUAACCUACCUAUAAGACUGGGAUAACUUCGGGAAACCGGAGCUAAUACCGGAUAAUAUUUUGAACCGCAUGGUUCAAAAGUGAAAGACGGUCUUGCUGUCACUUAUAGAUGGAUCCGCGCUGCAUUAGCUAGUUGGUAAGGUAACGGCUUACCAAGGCAACGAUGCAUAGCCGACCUGAGAGGGUGAUCGGCCACACUGGAACUGAGACACGGUCCAGACUCCUACGGGAGGCAGCAGUAGGGAAUCUUCCGCAAUGGGCGAAAGCCUGACGGAGCAACGCCGCGUGAGUGAUGAAGGUCUUCGGAUCGUAAAACUCUGUUAUUAGGGAAGAACAUAUGUGUAAGUAACUGUGCACAUCUUGACGGUACCUAAUCAGAAAGCCACGGCUAACUACGUGCCAGCAGCCGCGGUAAUACGUAGGUGGCAAGCGUUAUCCGGAAUUAUUGGGCGUAAAGCGCGCGUAGGCGGUUUUUUAAGUCUGAUGUGAAAGCCCACGGCUCAACCGUGGAGGGUCAUUGGAAACUGGAAAACUUGAGUGCAGAAGAGGAAAGUGGAAUUCCAUGUGUAGCGGUGAAAUGCGCAGAGAUAUGGAGGAACACCAGUGGCGAAGGCGACUUUCUGGUCUGUAACUGACGCUGAUGUGCGAAAGCGUGGGGAUCAAACAGGAUUAGAUACCCUGGUAGUCCACGCCGUAAACGAUGAGUGCUAAGUGUUAGGGGGUUUCCGCCCCUUAGUGCUGCAGCUAACGCAUUAAGCACUCCGCCUGGGGAGUACGACCGCAAGGUUGAAACUCAAAGGAAUUGACGGGGACCCGCACAAGCGUGGAGCAUGUGGUUUAAUUCGAAGCAACGCGAAGAACCUUACCAAAUCUUGACAUCCUUUGACAACUCUAGAGAUAGAGCCUUCUUCGGGGGACAAAGUGACAGGUGGUGCAUGGUUGUCGUCAGCUCGUGUCGUGAGAUGUUGGGUUAAGUCCCGCAACGAGCGCAACCCUUAAGCUUAGUUGCCAUCAUUAAGUUGGGCACUCUAAGUUGACUGCCGGUGACAAACCGGAGGAAGGUGGGGAUGACGUCAAAUCAUCAUGCCCCUUAUGAUUUGGGCUACACACGUGCUACAAUGGACAAUACAAAGGGCAGCGAAACCGCGAGGUCAAGCAAAUCCCAUAAAGUUGUUCUCAGUUCGGAUUGUAGUCUGCAACUCGACUACAUGAAGCUGGAAUCGCUAGUAAUCGUAGAUCAGCAUGCUACGGUGAAUACGUUCCCGGGUCUUGUACACACCGCCCGUCACACCACGAAGAGUUUGUAACACCCGAAGCCGGUGGAGUAACCUUUUAGGAGCU